UAAUACCUUAAGCAGCUUCUGCUCCGCUGGGGUAUCUUAAUUCAACAUCGAGGUGACAAACUUCAUCAGCGAUAUCGGCUCUUUGAUAAAAUUAUCCUGUUAUCCCUAAAGUAGCUUUUAUCCAAUAAUCGUUAAUCUUUUUUUUUAGUAUUAACGGGUCACUAUAGCCCACGUUGUGAUUGUUAAAGGGGUUACUUAUACAAUAAACGUAUUAUUUGUUUUGCUUACUUUCUUUAAUUUUAGAAAGUCCUUGCCCCAAGUAAACUACCAUCCCUUAGAAUUUUAUUAUAGCAAAGAAAAUUUAAGGGGUAUAGUUAAGCUUUAUAGGGUCUUAUCGUCUUACGAUUAAAAAUAGCAUCUUGACUAUUAUUCUAAUUUUUUUUGGUUUGCACUUGAGACAGUGAAAUCCUCGUACUACCAUUCAUACUAUCCGCUAAUUAGGCGGCGAUUGAUUGUGCUACCUUAAUACAGUCAGGAAUACUGCAGCCAUUUAGUUUUUUUUUCUAUUUAUU
RNAcentral lists this ribosomal RNA (512 nucleotides) under Plumularia sp. 1 NMNH 1473831. Its description in RNAcentral is "partial 16S ribosomal RNA". The record is from RNAcentral. Lineage: Eukaryota; Metazoa; Cnidaria; Hydrozoa; Leptothecata; Plumulariidae.